This is a non-coding RNA of Papiliotrema laurentii, 88 nucleotides long. Lineage: Eukaryota; Fungi; Basidiomycota; Tremellomycetes; Tremellales; Rhynchogastremaceae. The record is from the annotation of a GenBank genome assembly.
AUCUCCGUCGUAUAGUGGUUAUUACAUCACGUUGUGGUGUUUCCUCAGCGUUGCCGUGAAAACGUGUGUUCGAUUCACACCGGGGAUA